CCUACGGUGGGCAGCAGUGAGGAAUAUUGGUCAAUGGACGAGAGUCUGAACCAGCCAAGUAGCGUGAAGGAUGACUGCCCUAUGGGUUGUAAACUUCUUUUAUAUGGGAAUAAAAUGUUCCAAGUGUGGGAUUUUGUAUGUACCAUAUGAAUAAGGAUAGGCUAAAUCCGUGCCAGCAGCCGCGGUAAUACGGAGGAUACGAGAGUUAUCCGGACUUCUGGGGUUUAAAGGGAGCGUAGGUGGAUUGUUAAGUCAGUUGUGAAAGUUUGCGGCUCAUCCGUAAAAUUGCAGUUGAAACUGGCAGUCUUGAUUACAUUAGAGGUGGGCGGAUUUCGUUGUGUAGCGUUGAAAUGCUUAGAUAUCACGAAGAACUCCGAUUUCGAAUGUAGCUUACUGGACUGCAACUGACACUGAGGCUCGAAAGUGUGGGUAUCAAACAGGAUUAGAUACCCUAGUAGUC
This 460-nucleotide ribosomal RNA is filed under the name uncultured bacterium. Its description in RNAcentral is "partial 16S ribosomal RNA". It matches the Rfam family "Bacterial small subunit ribosomal RNA", at positions 338 to 795 of the family's 1533-position model. The record is from RNAcentral.